Molecule: transfer RNA, 71 nt
Filed under: Cricetulus griseus (Chinese hamster)
Lineage: Eukaryota; Metazoa; Chordata; Mammalia; Rodentia; Cricetidae
Rfam family: tRNA
About the family: Transfer RNA (tRNA) molecules are approximately 80 nucleotides in length. Their secondary structure includes four short double-helical elements and three loops (D, anti-codon, and T loops). Further hydrogen bonds mediate the characteristic L-shaped molecular structure. tRNAs have two regions of fundamental functional importance: the anti-codon, which is responsible for specific mRNA codon recognition, and the 3' end, to which the tRNAs corresponding amino acid is attached (by aminoacyl-tRNA synthetases). tRNAs cope with the degeneracy of the genetic code in two manners: having more than one tRNA (with a specific anti-codon) for a particular amino acid; and 'wobble' base-pairing, i.e. permitting non-standard base-pairing at the 3rd anti-codon position.
Source: Rfam by way of RNAcentral
GGAAAUGUGACUCAGUGGUUAAGAGCACUGACUGCUCUUCCAGAGGACCUGGGUUCAAUUCCCAGCACCCA